GCGUUGGCAGCGGAAGGGAAAUCCUCGGCGUCGAGGGCGCGGCGGGCGGCGUCAAGGCAGUGGGAGCGCUCGACGAUGGCGUCGAUGCGGGAGAGGGUGGUGGAGACGCGGGAUUGGGCUAGGUCGAGCUCCCGGACCUUGCGAGAGACGUUGUCGGCGAGGGAAGAGGUGGAUAGGACGGAGUCCAGGAGGAGGUGGGCGUCAUCGCGGGCGAGGUCGAGGAGGUGAGUGGAGCGGUGGAGGGAGGUGAGGUGGCGGUCGAGGUCGGGGCGCUGGGAGAGGAGGGACUCGAGGCGGAGGUCGAGGGAGCGCUGGUAGGCGAUGCAUUCGUGGAGGAGGCGGGUCAUGGCACCGACGUCAGUGAGGGAGCGAAUCUGGGCGAGGGCGGAGGGGGAGCCGAAGUCGAUGGAGGAGGAGGGCGGGUCGGCGGCGGUGGCGGGGGAGGCGUCGG
RNAcentral lists this unclassified non-coding RNA (451 nucleotides) under Hevea brasiliensis (rubber tree). The record is from RNAcentral. Lineage: Eukaryota; Viridiplantae; Streptophyta; Magnoliopsida; Malpighiales; Euphorbiaceae.